AACGAACGCUGGCGGCGUGCCUAACACAUGCAAGUCGCACGAGAAAGCUCCCUUCGGGGAGUGAGUACAGUGGCGCACGGGUGAGUAACGCGUGGGUAAUCUGCCCCCGAGUUGGGAAUAACCCCUCGAAAGGGGGGCUAAUACCGAAUAACAACCCGCUCUCCCUGGAGGGUGGGUUCAAAGGUGGCCUCUGUCGCAAGCUACCGCUUGGGGAGGAGCCCGCGUCCCAUUAGCUAGUUGGUAGGGUAAUGGCCUACCAAGGCAAUGAUGGGUAGCCGGCCUGAGAGGGUGUCCGGCCACACUGGAACUGAGACACGGUCCAGACUCCUACGGGAGGCAG
RNAcentral lists this ribosomal RNA (340 nucleotides) under uncultured Acidobacteriota bacterium. RNAcentral's name for it is "bacterial SSU rRNA". It matches the Rfam family "Bacterial small subunit ribosomal RNA", at positions 29 to 351 of the family's 1533-position model. Lineage: Bacteria; Pseudomonadati; Acidobacteriota. The record is from RNAcentral.